UCUAAAUGAAUCAAAACUUUCAACAACGGAUCUCUUGGUUCUGGCAUCGAUGAAGAACGCAGCGAAAUGCGAUAAGUAAUGUGAAUUGCAGAAUUCAGUGAAUCAUCGAAUCUUUGAACGCACAUUGCGCCCUCUGGUAUUCCAGAGGGCAUGCCUGUUCGAGCGUCAUUUCAACCCUCAA
This 181-nucleotide ribosomal RNA is filed under the name Cytospora eucalypticola. RNAcentral describes it as "5.8S ribosomal RNA". The stretch from base 15 to 168 matches the Rfam family "5.8S ribosomal RNA". From Rfam's summary of the family: 5.8S ribosomal RNA (5.8S rRNA) is a component of the large subunit of the eukaryotic ribosome. It is transcribed by RNA polymerase I as part of the 45S precursor that also contains 18S and 28S rRNA. Functionally, it is thought that 5.8S rRNA may be involved in ribosome translocation. Lineage: Eukaryota; Fungi; Ascomycota; Sordariomycetes; Diaporthales; Cytosporaceae. RNAcentral also lists the same sequence under 7 other names. The record is from RNAcentral.